Molecule: long non-coding RNA, 169 nt
Organism: Sander lucioperca (pikeperch)
Lineage: Eukaryota; Metazoa; Chordata; Actinopteri; Perciformes; Percidae
Exons: 3
Source: RefSeq, a predicted model, not a curated record
CCUCCCUUCCUCUCACUGGAAGUCAGUUAGUAUACCAGAGGCAUGAAACAAAAAAAAAAAAAUUGUCAAAGUAUUGAAACACUUCGAAAAAAAAGACAAAAUAUUUAGGUUGGUAUACCAGGGGCACGAAAGUUUAGUUGGUGUACCAGGGGCACGAAACAUUGGCCCA